AAAUAGACAAAGAAAGGAGAUACCAUGAUCGCAGAGGUGGUUUUCCCAGUUUGAGGCUGAUCCGUUGCACUUUGGAUAUGCUGACUCUGCGAUUUCCCCAUACUUUGUAGUAGUUAAGGACUCUACUUGUGUUCUCCCCUGU
Molecule: small nuclear RNA, 142 nt
Filed under: Piliocolobus tephrosceles (Ugandan red Colobus)
Lineage: Eukaryota; Metazoa; Chordata; Mammalia; Primates; Cercopithecidae
Description: U1 spliceosomal RNA (ENSPTEG00000028422.1)
Source: RNAcentral